AUUGAACGCUGGCGGCAUGCCUUACACAUGCAAGUCGAACGGUAACAGGUCUUCGGAUGCUGACGAGUGGCGAACGGGUGAGUAAUACAUCGGAACGUGCCUAGUAGUGGGGGAUAACUACUCGAAAGAGUGGCUAAUACCGCAUGAGAUCUACGGAUGAAAGCAGGGGAUCACAAGACCUUGUGCUACUAGAGCGGCCGAUGGCAGAUUAGGUAGUUGGUGGGAUAAAAGCUUACCAAGCCGACGAUCUGUAGCUGGUCUGAGAGGACGAUCAGCCAACAGGGGACUGAGACACGGCCCAGACUCCUACGGGAGGCAGCAGUGGGGAAUUUUGGACAAUGGGCGCAAGCCUGAUCCAGCAAUGCCGCGUGCAGGAUGAAGGCCUUCGGGUUGUAAACUGCUUUUGUACGGAACGAAAAGCCCCGGGUUAAUACCCUGGGGUCAUGACGGUACCGUAAGAACAAGCACCGGCUAACUACGUGCCAGCAGCCGCAGUAA
Molecule: ribosomal RNA, 498 nt
Filed under: uncultured bacterium
Lineage: Bacteria
Description: partial 16S ribosomal RNA
Rfam family: Bacterial small subunit ribosomal RNA
Source: RNAcentral